This 345-nucleotide unclassified non-coding RNA is filed under the name soil metagenome. RNAcentral describes it as "partial contains 5.8S ribosomal RNA, internal transcribed spacer 2, and large subunit ribosomal RNA". The stretch from base 1 to 119 matches the Rfam family "5.8S ribosomal RNA", at positions 35 to 154 of the family's 154-position model. The record is from RNAcentral.
GAUGAAGAACGUAGCGAAAUGCGAUACGUAAUGUGAAUUGCAAAUUCAGUGAAUCAUCGAGUCUUUGAACGCACAUUGCGCCCCCUGGUAUUCCGGGGGGCAUGCCUGUCCGAGCGUCAUUGCUGCCCUCAAGCACGGCUUGUGUGUUGGGCCCCGUCAUCCGAUCCCGGGGGACGGGCCCGAAAGGCAGCGGCGGCACCGCGUCCGGUCCUCGAGCGUAUGGGGCUUUGUCACCCGCUCUGUAGGCCCGGCCGGCGCUUGCCGAUCAACCCAAAUUUUUAUCCAGGUUGACCUCGGAUCAGGUAGGGAUACCCGCUGAACUUAAGCAUAUCAAUAAGCGGAGGA